GCUGGAAUAGCUCAGUUAGUUAGAGCGUGUGGCUGUUAACCACAAGGUCGUGCUUUGAUUCUUGAUAUUGCG
This 72-nucleotide transfer RNA is filed under the name Medicago truncatula (barrel medic). It matches the Rfam family "tRNA". Rfam says of the family: Transfer RNA (tRNA) molecules are approximately 80 nucleotides in length. Their secondary structure includes four short double-helical elements and three loops (D, anti-codon, and T loops). The record is from Rfam by way of RNAcentral. Lineage: Eukaryota; Viridiplantae; Streptophyta; Magnoliopsida; Fabales; Fabaceae.